This 515-nucleotide ribosomal RNA is filed under the name uncultured bacterium. RNAcentral describes it as "partial 16S ribosomal RNA". It matches the Rfam family "Bacterial small subunit ribosomal RNA", at positions 28 to 523 of the family's 1533-position model. The record is from RNAcentral.
GAUGAACGCUGGCGGCGUGCCUAAUACAUGCAAGUCGAGCGAAUGGAUUGAGAGCUUGCUCUUAUGAAGUUAGCGGCGGACGGGUGAGUAACACGUGGGUAACCUGCCCAUAAGACUGGGGUAACUCCGGGAAACCGGGGCUAAUACCGGAUAACAUUUUGAACCGCAUGGUUCGAAAUUGAAAGGCGGCUUCGGCUGUCACUUAUGGAUGGACCCGCGUAGCAUUAGCUAGUUGGUGAGGUAACGGCUCACCAAGGCAACGAUGCGUAGCCGACCUGAGAGGGUGAUCGGCCACACUGGGACUGAGACACGGCCCAGACUCCUACGGGAGGCAGCAGUAGGGAAUCUUCCGCAAUGGACGAAAGUCUGACGGAGCAACGCCGCGUGAGUGAUGAAGGCUUUCGGGUCGUAAAACUCUGUUGUUAGGGAAGAACAAGUGCUAGUUGAAUAAGCUGGCACCUUGACGGUACCUAACCAGAAAGCCACGGCUAACUACGUGCCAGCCGCCGCAGUAA